Exophiala spinifera is the source of this 100-nucleotide transfer RNA. It matches the Rfam family "tRNA". Rfam says of the family: Transfer RNA (tRNA) molecules are approximately 80 nucleotides in length. The record is from Rfam. NCBI's taxonomy places the organism in Eukaryota, Fungi, Ascomycota, Eurotiomycetes, Chaetothyriales, Herpotrichiellaceae.
UCCUCUGUGGCGCAAUCGGUGGCGCGUCUGACUGUUAAGCGCACUUCUAUGCCUAAAACAUAUAAUCAGAAGGUCGACAGUUCGAUCCUGUCCGGAGGAG